Molecule: long non-coding RNA, 304 nt
Filed under: Physcomitrium patens
Lineage: Eukaryota; Viridiplantae; Streptophyta; Bryopsida; Funariales; Funariaceae
Description: long non-coding RNA (PPAT_LNC004412)
Source: RNAcentral
GUGAUUUGGAGUUGAUAUGAAUUUUUAAGAGCUUUGCAAAUUGAGGUUUUUUCGGAUGACUUGGGUUUUAUGAAAUAAAAUAGGGUUUAUGUUUUGAGUGAUUUCGAGAGUUUUGUUGCAGAUCUAUAGGUGAAUGUUUUUGGAUUCAUGGUUAUAGUUGUGUUGAAUACAUGUUGUGAAUUUGAACUUGAUCUAAUGGUUGAACUGAGAGAUAUUGAGGUUUAAGUGAGUCAAGGUCUUAGAAAGUAGAAUUUUAGGUCCAGUGAGGGUUUUUUAGAUUUCAUGCAAUCUACUCGUUGGAUUG